GAUGAACGCUAGCGGCAGGCCUAAUACAUGCAAGUCGAACGGAUGUAGCAAUACAUUAGUGGCGUACGGGUGCGUAACGCGUAAACAAUCUACCUCAUACUGGGGGAUAGCCCUGGGAAACCGGGAGUAAGCCCGCAUGGUACCACGAGAUUUCAUGGUUUUGUGGUUAAAGAUUUAUCGGUAUGAGAUGAGUUUGCGUCUGAUUAGUUAGUUGGCGGGGUAACGGCCCACCAAGACGAUGAUCAGUAGGGGCUCUGAGAGGAGCGGCCCCCACACUGGCACUGAGACACGGGCCAGACUCCUACGGGAGGCAGCAGUAGGGAAUAUUGGGCAAUGGAGGCAACUCUGACCCAGCCAUGCCGCGUGCAGGAAGACGGCGCUCAGCGUUGUAAACUGCUUUUAUCUGGGAAGAAAAGCCGUUCUGCGGAAUGGUGUGACGGUACCAGAGGAAUAAGCACCGGCUAAACUCCGUGCCAGCAGCCGCG
This 485-nucleotide ribosomal RNA is filed under the name uncultured bacterium. RNAcentral's name for it is "bacterial SSU rRNA". It matches the Rfam family "Bacterial small subunit ribosomal RNA", at positions 28 to 519 of the family's 1533-position model. The record is from RNAcentral.